UGGGCAACCUGCCCUCAGCUCUGGGAUAACUCCAAGAAAUUGGGCUAAUACCGGAUAUGACCGCUGACCGCAUGGUCUGGUGGUGGAAAGAUUUUAUCGGCUGGGGAUGGGCCCGCGGCCUAUCAGCUUGUUGGUGGGGUAUGGCCUACCAAGGCGACGACGGGUAGCUGGUCUGAGAGGACGACCAGCCACACUGGAACUGAGAUACGGUCCAGACUCCGUACGGGAG
Molecule: ribosomal RNA, 229 nt
Filed under: uncultured bacterium
Lineage: Bacteria
Description: partial 16S ribosomal RNA
Rfam family: Bacterial small subunit ribosomal RNA
Source: RNAcentral